Molecule: long non-coding RNA, 4492 nt
Organism: Tympanuchus pallidicinctus (lesser prairie-chicken)
Lineage: Eukaryota; Metazoa; Chordata; Aves; Galliformes; Phasianidae
Exons: 4
Source: RefSeq, a predicted model, not a curated record
UUGGAAGGGAACAAAGGAGUUUCUGUUGAAAUACCAAAGCCCAAAGAUGCCACUUCAAAGAGAGCUGAGUCGACCACUUUUGGACUUAUAAAUAAGUUUGUACAGUCAUCGUUGUCAUCAUGAUCAACUGAACAACUACCUCUGAUGACCCAUCACUAUGGAAGAUCAACAUCUGCACUAUGUGCAGUGCUGGACUCAUAGUGAUACAGCCAAGAUAUUUGAAGAGAUUUUUUGUUUCACCUACUUUUCAGCACCUUCUAGUGGAAGGACCAGCCUUCAGCAUCAACAAAGAUAUUUAAGAGACAAAAUAUCUAUGAAUUCUGGAUAACUAACUCAUUUUCAACUAAAGGUCAAAAUGGUUGUAAAAAAUCAACAAAUGUCUUUUAAUUUUCUUUGAGAAAGCAUCUUCCUAGUUGGACAUAAGUAAAUUUACACAGAAGUGACCUCUGACUUAUAGUUGGAGCUCAGAUCAUGAACCAUACUGGUGUGCUUAAGAUGACAAAAUUACAGGCUGUAUGCUGUAGUUUAAUGUGGCAUGCAGUUCUGCACCCACAGACAUUCACUUACUCCUUUCUCCCAAUGGGGUGGGGAGAGAGCUGGGAAGGUAAAACCCAAGUACAAUUCAUGGGCUAAGAUAAAAACUGUUGAAACCAGAACAGUGAUAAUUUUUCAGUAAGUCAAGCGUUCUGUUUUCAGUGUUCUGUUAAGCAUCUGUUUAAUGAGAUACAGAGAAGAAUUGGAAAAAUAUUGCAUUUAAAGUAAAAAGCAAGAAACAAAAUCUCAUUAAUUCUAUGGCAUAUCAAGAGACAUUAAUUAUGCAUAUAGACCAAUGUACAAAUUAAUAUCAUAACAGAUCCAUUAAUGUUGAGAUGUUGCAUGGUUGUCACUAUUUUUGACAACAUGACCUUCCUGAAUAUGCUUUUUUUUUUUUUUUUUUUUUUCCCAAUAAUACCUCUUUCAGUUAAUGUCGUAAGCAAUAAAAUUUGAUCUAAAGAGUUAAAAACUGUUCCCCUCUCCUAUGUUCACCUAAUUAUUUACAUUGUGAUAAUUUGUGUAUUCGGUAAUCAGAGUGUGGGAGUUUGGCAAAGGUUUUCUUCAUUUAUUCUGUGAUUGCUUAACCUAUCAUGUGUUGCUAUUUCAGGUUGUUUUAUGAAAAGGUUCUAAAAGUCCAGCAUAUAAAACAAAUAAUACUUAGCAGCCAAUUUAAUAAUAAAUAACUGCAAAUGUUUAUGAGAAGCUUUACUGAAAAUCUUUCUUUUGCUUGAGAUACCACCCACUUUUGCAGAUGUCCGUCCUACUCAUUAUAUUCAGGAAGCAGAAAUCUCACCAUUUCCAAUGGUAGAAAAUGCUUGGGAUCAGUCUUCUCAAGCUAUGGUUUUUGCAUGUCUAGGAGGUUUGAUGACAAAAUGGCUGUAUUAACAUCUUUCUUAACUUGAUUCCUGUGGGGUUAAGGAAAACUCCAUGGAAUGUCAUUAUUCCCUUAAAGAUAUGCAUUUUGCUUGACUGACAAAGUGGUUUGAUUCCAAAUCAGCACUUUUUGCUGGAAAAAUUGGAUGUCAUCAAUAAGAGAUGGAGUCAUUUUACUGGUUUGUUUUUAUUUUCUUCUGAACUUUUUAACUAAAGUCAAAAUAACUAGUGUGAGUAAAAGAAAUGCACGUGCAUUUAAAAUAUUGUUUAUCAGAAUUUUAAUAUGUUAAGAUACUAGUAUUAUUUUUGCAUUUCAAAACAGAAAGAACAAACUGAUAUAAAUGUACUAUUUUAAAUAUGUAUAAUAAUUGCUUUCUCCCCACUUGAUUGUUUAGGAUAGUGUUAAGGAAGUAAAUAUAACAAAAGGGAUGAAGUUUUUGAGCUUUAAAUAUUACAUUUGAGCUACUCACUUUAGAUUUGAAGCAUAGUUAAGCAAAGAAAUAACCACUUUUAUGAACACUUCUGACACUUUAGAAAGUACUUUAAGAUAUUAUCCGAUAUUAAGAUCUUGUGUAAAAUUCUAUUUCAAUUAACAAUGUCUAACUCAUAAAACUGUCUUACGAGUUUUUCUUCUUUAUUACAUCCAAGCUCAUUUACUCUCAGGUUUUCUUUUGGAGAUAAUCAAAUAAUUCACUUAGAAAGAGACAAAACAUUUUUUCAUUUGCCUUCAGGCAGACACUGUAUAUGCAUAUGGAUGUCUUCAGCCACAAGCAUUCUUUAACUCUGUGUAGGUAUAUCACUGGUUGUCAAACUUUCACUUUUUCUUGCUGCUUCACAGUAUAAGCUAAUAAAUGUAUUUUUGGUGAACUGUGGAAUUUCCUCCUAUUAUUUCAGGCUCUUUCACUUGAAAACAAUAGUCCAAAUAGUUGUGUCUCAACAUUUCAAAAACACCUCUUGAAUCCUGCAGAAGACUAUUAUGCUACAAAGCAACGGCUUUGGAGACUAGUAUGCUCCUGAGGACACAACUGUUUUUGAACAAAUUACUUUGGUAUCCAGUAUUCUAUCCCAAAUGUAACCCAGGAAAAAGUGUAGAUGAAAUUUAUGGUGACACCCUUAAAUAAAAAUACUCACUAUGUAGAUCACUACACUUGGCAACAUGAGUCCUGGUCUAUCUUUCAGAGUAUUAAAGAAAUUAUUUCAUGAUAAUGCCCACACAGUUUACCAGUUUGAAUGUAAUAAAUGCAACAAAACUUUGAGUUGCUAUUCAUAAGUGACAGUCUUUUUUCACUGUUGCCUUUAGGGAUUGCUCUAAAAGGCAGUAUUCUCCAAGCUGUAUUAGACAACAUAAUUUUUGCUUCCUUUUUAAAUGAUGUGCCUUUAAAACUAUCAGUGGCAGUCUCAAAGAUUUGAAACCUACAUGUAUGGCUAGUUAGCUUAUUGGCUGCUGACAGUUACUGCUAUGGCAUUCUGCUAUGAUGUGCAAAAAUGACGCUUGUUUGACUUUUUUCUUUUAUAUCAUUAGCUUUCAUUAUUUUUUGCAUCGCCUUUUAGCAGUACUGUUCUGCUCUUUUUCACUAGUCUGAAACACCGUCAUAAUUACAGAUGGAAUUUUAGGAAAGGAAAGAAUGAAAAUGAGAAAUAUUAUGUAAAAUCAAGCUCCGUCUUUGUCUUAAGUGCUGAGUGUAGCUUUCAUUCUCUCAUCUCAAAAAAUUAAACCUGGAACUCUUUCAAGAGUGACAGAUAAUCAGAGAUUGUAAUCGUUUUUGUAUGAGUCAUGACAAAAUUAGCUUCUAAACUCAGCCUGAAAAAGAAAUAACCAAAGGAAAAUUAGAGAGAGAUCUCAAAUGUUAUCCCUGGCAAACAGGAAGAAAACAAGGAUCAAUUUUUCACAUUGUCAUUCAGCAGAACAAGGAGCUAGUAGUUGGAAAAUACAAUAAAAAAGAAAAAACUGCAUAAAAAAGAAAGGUAGUUUUUGUAUAUUUUUUCUAAUAUUUUGUAGUACAAUGUUACAAUGUAGAGUUCUGUACAAUGUUAUCAACAUUAACUUCAAAAGAGUCAUACUGAUGCAGAAAAUCCAUUGAGACUUAUUAAAUAUAAAAUGACAUUUCUCAGAAAUAAAACCAGAAAAACAGAAUUUGUAUGAUGGAUUCUUCAGCUUUAAUUCAUUCAGUUCCACAGUUUUCACUUCUUUCUUCUCUCUCUUCUUUGAAAAUAUACCAUUCUUAUGCUUUAUGUAUGCAUGGCACAUAGAACUCUUCAAAGUAGGUUCUUUCUUAAGAUUCCUUUAGCUGAAAUAACUGAAACCUGUUGUAGCAGGAUUCAUGAAGUACUUCAAAAUCACUGUCAAUAUAAAGAUUAACUUCUUGUUUACUGUUUGGUGAUCUAUUCAUCCUAUGUAACUUCAACAGUUUUCAGAGAAAUUUUAGUUGCACUACUCUCCCAGGGGGCACAAACACAUGCUGGAGGCCACCCCACCACAAAGCACCUCUGCAGAAAAAGAUGUAGAAGUUUUGGUACACACAAGCUGAACUUGAGUGAGCAGUAUGCUCUUGUGUCUAAGAAAGGUGAUGAUAUUCUUGGCUGCAUUAGGUAAACUAUCCACAACAGGAUGAGAAAGGUGAGUGCAUCCCCCAGCGUUGUUAAGACUGCAAUAGGAAUACUGUUCAGUUCUGAGUCCUCCAAUACAUGACUUCAUAAAAAGAUGAGAAUAUGUAAUGGAGAAUGACAGUCGGGUCACUGACUGACUGAAAGCUAUAUAGUGUGGCAGAUAAAUUCUGAGAAACAGAGGCACACAGAAUCCAGAACUACAGUUCCAGAUACAUACAUAAUUUCUAUAAAGAGAAACUAUAGCCAAACAAACAAGGAUAUUUUAACUUUAUAUUUUCUUUCUCCAAAAGCUCAUUACUGAAGAAAAGCUACUUUCUGGAAGAUGUUUUACUUAUGUUUUCCUACUGUCUGUCACAGUUAUGAAGGAUUAGUGACUGCUGUUGAGAGAGUUUUUGUGUAAUUCUAAGAGCACAAAAAUGAAUAUAAAGUAUUGGGAAAAAGUCAGUUGUAAACCCGGCAUAGGGCUGUGGAUAUUCAU